Long non-coding RNA from Macadamia integrifolia, 263 nucleotides. RefSeq lists it as uncharacterized. The transcript has 3 exons. NCBI's taxonomy places the organism in Eukaryota, Viridiplantae, Streptophyta, Magnoliopsida, Proteales, Proteaceae. The record is from RefSeq and is a predicted model, not a curated record.
UCAGGGAUUUCAACUAAAAUCCAUGAUUCAUCCGGAUUAACCUCAAUAGGUUAAUCCGGAAUCGAGUCACGGUUUAUUGGGUUCGUAUAAAAGCCAUGGAUUCAACUGGAGUUCAUUUCCACGGUUUCCUGCGAUUCUGACGGUGAAGUCCGACCGAGGUUUAGCGACGGGUGAAGCAACAGAUGCUCGCAUCUGAGAAGAACACCUAAAACCGAGUUGAUUGAAGGUUGUAAACUUCAUAUCUAGGGUUUACCCUAUUUCCA